GCUUAGCUCAGUUGGUAAAGUGCUUGCCUCACAUGCACAAGGACCUGGGUUCAAAGCCCAGCAUCA
RNAcentral lists this transfer RNA (66 nucleotides) under Marmota monax (woodchuck). Its description in RNAcentral is "tRNA.Val". Lineage: Eukaryota; Metazoa; Chordata; Mammalia; Rodentia; Sciuridae. The record is from RNAcentral.